CCUACGGGAGGCAGCAGUGGGGAAUUUUGGACAAUGGGCGCAAGCCUGAUCCAGCAAUGCCGCGUGAGUGAAGAAGGCCUUCGGGUUGUAAAGCUCUUUUGUCAGGGAAGAAACGGUGGGGGCUAAUAUCUCCUGCUAAUGACGGUACCUGAAGAAUAAGCACCGGCUAACUACGUGCCAGCAGCCGCGGUAAUACGUAGGGUGCAAGCGUUAAUCGGAAUUACUGGGCGUAAAGCGUGCGCAGGCGGUUUUGUAAGUUUGUCGUGAAAUCCCCGGGCUCAACCUGGGAAUGGCGAUGAAGACUGCAAGGCUAGAAUCUGGCAGAGGGGGGUAGAAUUCCACGUGUAGCAGUGAAAUGCGUAGAGAUGUGGAGGAACACCGAUGGCGAAGGCAGCCCCCUGGGUCAAGAUUGACGCUCAUGCACGAAAGCGUGGGGAGCAAACAGGAUUAGAUACCCUGGUAGUCCACGCCCUAAACGAUGUCUACUAGUUGUUACGGGUUUUAAUUAACGUUGGUAACGCAGCUAACGCGUAGAAGUAGACCGCCGUGGGGAGUACGGUCGCAAGAUUAAAACGUUAAAGGAAUUGGACCGGCGUGAGACGUGCCGACGGACGACGACGACGGGAGGUUAGG
RNAcentral lists this ribosomal RNA (633 nucleotides) under uncultured bacterium. RNAcentral's name for it is "bacterial SSU rRNA". It matches the Rfam family "Bacterial small subunit ribosomal RNA", at positions 338 to 961 of the family's 1533-position model. The record is from RNAcentral.